GAGAGUAUAGCUCAGUGGUAGAGCACAUUGUUAGCAGGCACAAGGUCCUGGGUUCAAUCCCCAGUACCUCCA
Molecule: transfer RNA, 72 nt
Filed under: Camelus bactrianus (Bactrian camel)
Lineage: Eukaryota; Metazoa; Chordata; Mammalia; Artiodactyla; Camelidae
Also listed under: 2 other names
Rfam family: tRNA
About the family: Transfer RNA (tRNA) molecules are approximately 80 nucleotides in length.
Source: Rfam by way of RNAcentral